CGCGUAGACGGUUUUGUAAGUCAGAUGUGAAAUCCCCGGGCUCAACCUGGGAACUGCAUUUGAGACUGCAUGGCUAGAGUAUGGAAGAGGGAAGUGGAAUUUCCGGUGUAGCGGUGAAAUGCGUAGAUAUCGGAAGGAACACCAGUGGCGAAAGCGACUUCCUGGUCCAAUACUGACGUUCAUGUGCGAAAGCGUGGGGAGCAAACAGGAUUAGAUACCCUGGUAGUCCACGCCAUAAACGAUGACAACUAGAUGUUGGGAGGGUCUGCCUCUCGGUGUCGCAGCUAACGCGUUAAGUUGUCCGCCUGGGGAGUACGGCCGCAAGGUUGAA
Molecule: ribosomal RNA, 331 nt
Filed under: uncultured bacterium
Lineage: Bacteria
Description: bacterial SSU rRNA
Rfam family: Bacterial small subunit ribosomal RNA
Source: RNAcentral